Molecule: unclassified non-coding RNA, 376 nt
Filed under: uncultured bacterium
Lineage: Bacteria
Description: contains 16S-23S intergenic spacer region
Source: RNAcentral
UCCGAGUUGACCCCGGCAGUCUCCUAGAGUCCCCGGCAUAACCCGCUGGCAACAUAGGACAAGGGUUGCGCUCGUUGCGGGACUUAACCCAACAUCUCACGACACGAACUGACGACGGCCAUGCAGCACCUGUCUUACAGUUCCCGAAGGCACCAAUCCAUCUCUGGAAAGUUCUGUAGAUGUCAAGGCCAGGUAAGGUUCUUCGCGUUGCGUCGAAUUGAACCACAUGCUCCACCGCUUGUGCGAGCCCCCGUCAAUUCCUUUGAGUUUUAACCUUGCGGCCGUACUCCCCAGGCGGAGGACUUAAUGCGUUAGCUGCAGCAGAGAGAACCGAAAUCCCCUCCACUUAGUCCUCAUCGUUUACGGCUAGGACUAC